GGCAGUAUGGUGUAGUGGAAAUGAGUUAACUCAUAAUCGAAAAGGUUGCCGGUUCGAUUCCCUGCUAGGGCCG
Non-coding RNA from Megalops atlanticus (tarpon), 73 nucleotides. NCBI's taxonomy places the organism in Eukaryota, Metazoa, Chordata, Actinopteri, Elopiformes, Megalopidae. The record is from the annotation of a GenBank genome assembly.